CCCAGCUUGCUGGGUGGAUUAGUGGCGAACGGGUGAGUAACACGUGAGUAACCUGCCCUUAACUCUGGGAUAAGCCUGGGAAACUGGGUCUAAUACCGGAUAGGAGCGUCCACCGCAUGGUGGGUGUUGGAAAGAUUUAUCGGUUUUGGAUGGACUCGCGGCCUAUCAGCUUGUUGGUGAGGUAAUGGCUCACCAAGGCGACGACGGGUAGCCGGCCUGAGAGGGUGACCGGCCACACUGGGACUGAGACACGGCCCAGACUCCUACGGGAGGCAGCAGUGGGGAAUAUUGCACAAUGGGCGAAAGCCUGAUGCAGCGACGCCGCGUGAGGGAUGACGGCCUUCGGGUUGUAAACCUCUUUCAGUAGGGAAGAAGCGAAAGUGACGGUACCUGCAGAAGAAGCACCGGCUAACUACGUGCCAGCAGCCGCGGUAAUACGUAGGGUGCGAGCGUUAUCCGGAAUUAUUGGGCGUAAAGAGCUCGUAGGCGGUUUGUCGCGUCUGUCGUGAAAGUCCGGGGCUUAACCCCGGAUCUGCGGUGGGUACGGGCAGACUAGAGUGCAGUAGGGGAGACUGGAAUUCCUGGUGUAGCGGUGGAAUGCGCAGAUAUCAGGAGGAACACCGAUGGCGAAGGCAGGUCUCUGGGCUGUAACUGACGCUGAGGAGCGAAAGCAUGGGGAGCGAACAGGAUUAGAUACCCUGGUAGUCCAUGCCGUAAACGUUGGGCACUAGGUGUGGGGACCAUUCCACGGUUUCCGCGCCGCAGCUAACGCAUUAAGUGCCCCGCCUGGGGAGUACGGCCGCAAGGCUAAAACUCAAAGGAAUUGACGGGGGCCCGCACAAGCGGCGGAGCAUGCGGAUUAAUUCGAUGCAACGCGAAGAACCUUACCAAGGCUUGACAUGUUCUCGAUCGCCGUAGAGAUACGGUUUCCCCUUUGGGGCGGGUUCACAGGUGGUGCAUGGUUGUCGUCAGCUCGUGUCGUGAGAUGUUGGGUUAAGUCCCGCAACGAGCGCAACCCUCGUUCCAUGUUGCCAGCACGUAAUGGUGGGGACUCAUGGGAGACUGCCGGGGUCAACUCGGAAGGAAGGUGAGGACGACGUCAAAUCAUCAUGCCCCUUAUGUCUUGGGCUUCACGCAUGCUACAAUGGCCGGUACAAUGGGUUGCGAUACUGUGAGGUGGAGCUAAUCCCAAAAAGCCGGUCUCAGUUCGGAUUGGGGUCUGCAACUCGACCCCAUGAAGUCGGAGUCGCUAGG
This 1254-nucleotide ribosomal RNA is filed under the name Micrococcus luteus. Its description in RNAcentral is "bacterial SSU rRNA". It matches the Rfam family "Bacterial small subunit ribosomal RNA", at positions 74 to 1339 of the family's 1533-position model. Lineage: Bacteria; Bacillati; Actinomycetota; Actinomycetes; Micrococcales; Micrococcaceae. The record is from RNAcentral.